Dreissena polymorpha is the source of this 1291-nucleotide long non-coding RNA. RefSeq lists it as uncharacterized. NCBI's taxonomy places the organism in Eukaryota, Metazoa, Mollusca, Bivalvia, Myida, Dreissenidae. The transcript has 3 exons. The record is from RefSeq and is a predicted model, not a curated record.
UUUGCCCUUAGACAUAGCUAACUGACUAAUGUGAUCCACACAUUUCUGAGUUAUUUGCCCUUGAACAUAGCUAACUGACUAAUGUGAUCCACAUAUUCCAGAGUUAGUUGCCCUUGAACAUAGCUAUCUGACAAAUGUGAUCCACACAUUCCUGAGGUAUUUGCCCUUGAACAUAGCUGACAAAUGUGAUACACAUUCCUGAGGUAUUUGCCCUUGAACAUAGCUAUCUGACAAAUGUUAUCCACACAUUCCUGAGGUAUUUGCCCUUGAACAUAGCUGACAAAUGUGAUCCACACAUUCCUGAGGUAUUUGCCCUUGAACAUAGCUGACAAAUGUGAUACACAUUCCUGAGGUAUUUGCCCUUGAACAUAGCUAUCUGACAAAUGUUAUCCACACAUUCCUGAGGUAUUUGCCCUUGAACAUAGCUAUCUGACAAAUGUUAUCCACACAUUCCUGAGGUAUUUGCCCUUGAACAUAGCUGACAAAUGUGAUCAACACAUUCCUGAGGUAUUUGCCCUUAAAAAUAGCUGACAAAUGUGAUUCACACAUUCCCGUGUUAUUUGCUCUUGAACAUAGCUCGCUUUCAAAGCAUUUCUCGGGCACGAGUCUCUAAGACAAAGCUCUUGCUAUAUAGUGCUAUUAAUUUUUGAAAGAAAAAAAAUGUGUUUCGUCAUACAAUUAUUUGUUAUGGAUGCAUGAUUUACUUAAGCUUCUGUCAUUUAUUUUUAUGCCCCCUUUCGAGGAAAAGGGAAUAUAUAGAUUUUGCACUGUCUGUCUGUAAGUCUGUCAGUCUGUCUGUCUGUCACACUUUUCGUGUCUGCUCUCUUUUUCAAAUACUUUUCAUCCCAUCUUUACCAAACUUGGUCAGAAGCUGUAUCUAGACAAUAUCUAGGUCAAGUUCGAAUAUGGGUCAUGCCAGGUCAAAAACUAGGUCAUGGGGUCACUUCCUGCAUUUCAAGGUUUUAGCAUGGUAAAAUGCUAAUAACUUCUAUCAAAGCGUUUAUAGGGGGCAUGUGUCAUCCUAUGGCGACAGCUAUUGUAAAUUUCUUUUUUUUCCGAUAAACAAGCUUUUGAAAAUGUAGUUUUAUACCAUUAAGUAAAAUGUAAAUACUGUACAUUAUGAUUUUUAUUAUGAUUGUUACAUAUUUUACACACUCACGAUCAUGUUAUAUCUACUGAACUCAUGUUUUAUACAUUCCCAAUCAUUUUAUAUCUACUGAACUGUGCAGUUUGUUUGUAAAGUCCCUAUUUUGUAAAUGUUUGGUGCAUCUAAAUGUGGAUUUGUUAGAUA